GCUAUGAUAUUUUAAAAAAGAAUAGUUGUUUUGUAAUCAACAGGUUGUAGUAGCU
This 55-nucleotide transfer RNA is filed under the name Philometroides sanguineus. RNAcentral describes it as "tRNA-Thr". Lineage: Eukaryota; Metazoa; Nematoda; Chromadorea; Rhabditida; Philometridae. The record is from RNAcentral.